CUUACCAGGUCUUGACAUCCACUUAAACUUACAGAGAUGUAAGGUGUGCUUGCACAAAGUGAGACAGGUGGUGCAUGGUUGUCGUCAGCUCGUGUCGUGAGAUGUUGGGUUAAGUCCCGCAACGAGCGCAACCCUUAUCUUCAGUUACUAACGCGUGAAGGUGAGGACUCUGAAGAGACUGCCGGGGACAACUCGGAGGAAGGUGGGGACGACGUCAAAUCAUCAUGCCCCUUAUGACCUGGGCUACACACGUGCUACAAUGGCCACGACAGAGAGAAGCGAAAUCGCAAGGUAGAGCGGAACUCAAAAAAGUGGUCCCAGUUCGGAUUGUGGGCUGCAACCCGCCCACAUGAAGUCGGAGUUGCUAGUAAUCGCGGAUCAGCAUGCCGCGGUGAAUACGUUCCCGGGCCUUGUACACACCGCCCGUCACACCAUGGGAGUUGGGAGUGCCCAAAGCCGGUGAGGCAACCGCAAGGAGCCAGCCGUCUAAGGCAAGACCAAUGACUGGGGUGAAGUCGUAACAAGGUAGCCGUAUCGGAAGGUGCGGCUGGAUCACCUCCUUU
RNAcentral lists this ribosomal RNA (563 nucleotides) under human gut metagenome. Its description in RNAcentral is "bacterial SSU rRNA". It matches the Rfam family "Bacterial small subunit ribosomal RNA", at positions 970 to 1533 of the family's 1533-position model. The record is from RNAcentral.